RNAcentral lists this ribosomal RNA (467 nucleotides) under uncultured bacterium. RNAcentral's name for it is "bacterial SSU rRNA". It matches the Rfam family "Bacterial small subunit ribosomal RNA", at positions 954 to 1417 of the family's 1533-position model. The record is from RNAcentral.
AUGGGAACGCGAAGAACCUUACCUACUCUUGACAUCCAGAGAACUUUCCAGAGAUGGAUUGGUGCCUUCGGGAACUCUGAGACAGGUGCUGCAUGGCUGUCGUCAGCUCGUGUUGUGAAAUGUUGGGUUAAGUCCCGCAACGAGCGCAACCCGUUAUCCUUUGUUGCCAGCGGUUUAGGCCGGGAACUCAAAGGAGACGUGCCAGUGAUAAACUGGAGGAAGGUGGGGAUGACGUCAAGUCAUCAUGGCCCUUACGAGUAGGGCUACACACGUGCUACAAUGGCGCAUACAAAGAGAAGCGACCUCGCGAGAGCAAGCGGACCUCAUAAAGUGCGUCGUAGUCCGGAUUGGAGUCUGCAACUCGACUCCAUGAAGUCGGAAUCGCUAGUAAUCGUAGAUCAGAAUGCUACGGUGAAUACGUUCCCGGGUCUUGUACACACCGGGUCUUGUACACAGUCGGUGGGGGG